Pan troglodytes (chimpanzee) is the source of this 148-nucleotide non-coding RNA. It matches the Rfam family "Metazoan signal recognition particle RNA". From Rfam's summary of the family: The signal recognition particle (SRP) is a universally conserved ribonucleoprotein. It is involved in the co-translational targeting of proteins to membranes. The record is from Rfam. NCBI's taxonomy places the organism in Eukaryota, Metazoa, Chordata, Mammalia, Primates, Hominidae.
GCCGGGUGUGGUGGUGUGCACCUGUAGUCCCAGCUACUCGGGAGGCUGAGGCAGGGGAAUCGCUUGAACCCGGGAGGUGGAGGUUGCAGUGAGCUGAGACUGUGCCAUUGCACUCUAGCCUGGGUAACAGAGCAAGACUCUGUCUCGA